CAGAAGGUGAAGAAUAUCGAAGAUGAUUCACAGAAAAUGGAGCUUGUUAACCGGUCCUGUUGCUAUACUCGGCGGAAUCGUCGGUAGUAUUGUCGUCGCUAAUUUUAUCUUUGUCCAAAAUGAUCCCUUCCUUAAGCCAGAACGAAAGCUGGAGAAGGCACCUUCAACCAAGUAGAAAUAGUAGAUGUGUGAAAUUCUCUGAUUUGAGGUUUUCCGCUUGUUAGGUUCAUUACAUUUGGGCCCAAUAAAGUGAACAUCUGAGCAAUCAAAAGCUUGAAUGUAGGUUUUCAUUUGUCAUUUAUCUUGGCUUUCUUUCUGAACUCAUUCAAAUCACUUUAUAAAAUAUGAAACUAUCUGCCCUCAAACAAAAGUUGGGUCUCCUGUUUUGUGAUGCUUUAUUCAGGUUAUGAAUACAAUAAGAAUCUGGAAAUG
This 432-nucleotide unclassified non-coding RNA is filed under the name Hevea brasiliensis (rubber tree). The record is from RNAcentral. Lineage: Eukaryota; Viridiplantae; Streptophyta; Magnoliopsida; Malpighiales; Euphorbiaceae.